GAGAUCAAAUUACAGUUUUUAAGUUAGUGGUGCUGAAGCAGAAGUUUUCCUCUCUUAACCAGUAUUCAAAUCCCAAGCAAGGUAUUUCCAGUGCCAAGACACAUUAGGUAGAAUUUUAAAAUGAGUGGCAUCCCUAUAUUGUGUCAUACAGUUGUAAAGUUAGCACCAACUACCAACCAUUCUUCACUCACCGAGUGCUCUGCACUGUAAGAAGGGCUAGAGGUGGGCAGUCGUCAGGGGAGAUAGAGCGGGCUGCAGGAGCCUCAUCUGCCAGGCACACACUUACCAUGAGACAAUACAGACAGCUUGAUAGAGACCCAGAAUUUCCAUUGAGCUAGUAUCUGAGCUAUGGAAUAGCUUCUUUGAUGUACCUCUUUGCCUUCGAUUGCUUUUAGUUUUAAGACUGUAGAAUGAUCCUUUAAAAUUGUAAUCUUUUCUAAUAGAGAUAUUUUAAUAUACUUGCUUUUUUAAAAAACAAAAACUACUGUCAGUAUAAUACUGAGCCAGACUGGCAUCUACAGAUUUACGACCUAUCAUUUCAUCAAGAUUCUCACCCCCAUACUAAAAGCUAGCUAAUAUCAUGGCCUUUGGAUACAUAUGAGAUGUGUUUACUGUCAUUCCAUUGGCCUUCCAUCUGCCUGUAGAUCCAUCAUUUUAGGGCCUAAAAUAUGCUAGGGACUAACAUGCUAGGCAUUACGAUAUGAAAAAGGCUGUCCCUAACCUCAUUAAGUAUUCAAAAUGCCAUUAUUACUCAUUAGGUUCAACUUAUCUCAUUUUUAACAUCAUAAGUACAUGUCUAGAAAAUUUCUAUUUUAAGCACUAUUGUUUUUCAUGAAAUUAAAAGGUUAAAUAUUCUCACUUAUUCCUUAUAUAAAUAUUCCUCCCCCCUUAAUCACUCCUAAACACUCUCAAAUA
Molecule: long non-coding RNA, 915 nt
Filed under: Bos taurus (domestic cattle)
Lineage: Eukaryota; Metazoa; Chordata; Mammalia; Artiodactyla; Bovidae
Description: long non-coding RNA NONBTAT023113
Source: RNAcentral